UCUAAUGUGGCAGAUUAGUGCGAUGGAUUUAAACCCCAUUCAUAAAGAUUUCUUUCUUUAGAA
RNAcentral lists this transfer RNA (63 nucleotides) under Margarinotus merdarius. Its description in RNAcentral is "tRNA-Leu". Lineage: Eukaryota; Metazoa; Arthropoda; Insecta; Coleoptera; Histeridae. The record is from RNAcentral.